This 22-nucleotide microRNA is filed under the name Homo sapiens (human). RNAcentral's name for it is "hsa-miR-4696". Lineage: Eukaryota; Metazoa; Chordata; Mammalia; Primates; Hominidae. The record is from miRBase by way of RNAcentral.
UGCAAGACGGAUACUGUCAUCU